UGGUGGAGUGAUUUGUCUGGUUUAUUCCGAUAACGAACGAGACUCUGGCCUACUAACUAGUGCUUGAAUCUUUUAUUUAAUGCGCUUCUUAGAGGGACAAGCAGUGCUCAGCUGCAUGAGAAAGAGCAAUAACA
Molecule: ribosomal RNA, 134 nt
Filed under: uncultured eukaryote
Lineage: Eukaryota
Description: partial 18S ribosomal RNA
Rfam family: Eukaryotic small subunit ribosomal RNA
Source: RNAcentral